Molecule: non-coding RNA, 446 nt
Organism: Pelobates cultripes (western spadefoot toad)
Lineage: Eukaryota; Metazoa; Chordata; Amphibia; Anura; Pelobatidae
Source: the annotation of a GenBank genome assembly
GUCCUAUCUGCGGUCCGGUCCAUACUUACGGUAAUUCCGGUCCCCUACACGCCGCUCUGUGGUCUUACCAGCGGAACGCACAUGGCGGUAAUCUUACCGGGGACCACCCACGGUCCCCACACUACGGCAUCUAGGCGGUCGGUUUUGUACAUCUUGCCGGGGGGGUCCUACACCCCCCUCAGACUCAUAGGUUCGCGGUACGUUACUACCUUCGGUCAAAAACGUUACUCUUGUAAAUAGGGGCGCGUAAAUCCGCAUUGGGUUAGCCUCUGCAGUUCUAGCACAGACUAUGCUACAAUACUGUGUAUAUAUAAAGGAUGCCAUAAUUCACUAUAGUGUGCACGGCCUAUUGCUACUGGUUGUAAACUUUCAUGCAUGCUUUCCUUAUUGGUUCUCUUGUGUCAGUUUCACAUGCCAAGUUUAGUGGUCUGUUAUCGCCACCUAGU